CUCUUCUCAAACUGAACUUUCAUAUCACUCUCUUCACUUAGGAGAAAAAUCCCUUGAAUCUCUUACCACCAAGAAAUCUAAAAUAGAACUUUCAAGCUCUCUGGAGUCAGACCUCAAAUUAUGGGAUACCUCAAAUACGGAUUUCUUCAUUGCUCUUAAAGACAAGCCCUGCUCAUGGCAGAGUAGACGACCUUAACAACAUGCAAGCCAUCAAUUAUAAGAAAAAUGAUCUAUUUGUCUUUCAACUAUAGUCAAAAUUCCUCUCUGUACCCCAUCCUAAAGUCUAUAAACCCUUAUUGAGAACAUUUUAUGCAAAUCUUUGCUCUUGCAAGCCUGAUCAGUUAGAAUCCGUAGUUUUAGGUAAACACAUUGUUCUUGAUUCUGCAUGUUCGACUCAAUUUUUCAAUGUAAGUGCUUAGGGUUUCCCGCACUUUUCAAGGAAUACUUGGCUAAUGACUUUGAAAUUUUUUUAGAUCAAGCAAAAUGUUAUUAUGCUGAGUGUACAUCUAAUUUCCUCCCUAACCAGUUAGGUCCCAGUGAUUUUAGCUUUGAAAGUCGAGUUCUAGCCUACAUUGUUGCUACCACUCUUCUCCCUUGCACUGUAUCAUUCUCCACAUUCUCUCAAUAAGAUACCUUUCUUAUUCACUGUCUCAUGACCAAACUCAAGAUUAAGUUAUCCUCUUAGGUCAUAAAUUACAUGAUAGAAAGUGCUGAUAAUCCCAACAGUUUUCCCUAUGGUAUGGCAACCACUCAUAUCUUUGAAGCCCACAAGAUCUCUAUCUCGGAAUACCUUUUUGUCUUUGUUUCAAAAUCCUACAAUUCUAGAGAGUUUUUUAGUAUGGUUAUGUGUGUGUAAAGGGCUCUUGGGUGAAGAAACAUGAUGGUGAAGUCAAGAAUGUUCAACCUGAUUCCAAGACCAAAGCCUCUAUUUCCCAUCACAGUGUAAGUGAUCCUGAUCUUUCUUUGCGAAAUUUAAUGCCAUUGAUAACAAGCACACCAUCAUUCAUGAUCUUCUUGUUUCCACUCAGUCCAUUGUUGGGGACAUUCAUACAAUCUCCAAAGAGACAGGGUCGGAUGUUUUAACGAUGAGGGUCAAAAUUCUCUGACUUGGAGAAAAUGCAGUCAAAGUAUCAAGGAAGUUCUUGACAGGAUCGAUGGAUAUACUGUUUCAGCCACAUGCCAGCUUUGACUGACUGAAGAAGUCAAUUUGCAAUACUCUUACUUAUUUCUUGCGUCGCUAACUAUGAAAAUCUCAAAUUAGUUUUUUAUGUUUUUCUAUUUUAGACUGGAUAACUAGUCGAUGGAUUAUAUUUUUCUCUUUUUUGCCAUAACUCUGCAUGCCUAUAAUGCCAUCAUUAUCAUCUAUAAUACUUUCCUAGUGUGAGUUAUUUACAUUUCUCAUUUUAGUCUGUGUUUAUCCCCUCUUUAUUGAUGUCAAAAAAAGAGGAGAAAGAAUUAUACUUUCAUGUACAGGAAGCACAUUACAAGAGUCGACAAAUGGAAAGGCUAAAGUACAUGAAGCACGUUGCAAGAGUCGAUUGAAGGAAAGACAAAAAUAUGCAGCACUUGUUUAGGGGGAAUCGAAUGUAUAAUGCAAACUCAUUGAGGUGGCGUCAACCGCACUCAUUGAGGGGAAGUCGACUACAAGAACUAUAGGGAAGUCAACUAUUAUUGAUAUAUUAUUUUUUUCAUCGUCAAAUAGUGGGAGAGUAUUAAUUAUAAGUUUCAAUGAUAAAAGAUAAUAUAUUAAAUUUGGUUUAGGGUCUCAAGGAAUAUAUUAAAGGGAUUCAAGAAGCAAUACCAGUCAGUAGUAGAUCAAUGGGAAGAAUCAAUGAUCAGCAACGCAAAAGGAAGAAGUAGUGGAGAUCCGGUUAGAACAGUCACUCAGUGAUUGAUGGAAGCUAACAAGAAAAGGAAUCAGCGAUGGAAAAGAAAGGAACAAUAGAUACCUAGCAAGGAUAAUCAAUCAGAGAUUGAUGGAAGCUAUUACUGGAAGGUCCCAAAUCAACGGGAAACGCAAUCACUGAAAAUCAAUGAAGCUAAUACUCAAGGGAUCCAGCGGAUAUGACUCAAGUACUACAGAGAUACAUCCACCCUAUGGAAAGCUCGUCAAGAUAAUAAAUCAAGGAAGAAUAAUGAGAACUUAACCUUAUUCUUGGAAAGAAUCAAUAUAUGAUUCGUUUGAAGGAUCAACUACCAUAUGUUGGUAAUCUCUCAAGAUUCAUGAAGGUCUCAUGGAAAGUAUAUAUACUAACGCUCCAGGCAUGAAAAGGACAUACUUUGAUUGAACAAUCUAGCCACUUUUUGUUCUACUCCAAACAAGCAUUGCAAUUCCUUUAGAUUUGUUGUGUAAUUAACGAGAGAAGAAAAAGAGAUAAAAACUUGUGAGGCAUUGUAUCACAAAGAAAAGAGACAUAGAGACUACGUUGUUGCUGUAAAGCUACACCAUUCAUUCUGUACUAAAGAAAUAUUGAUCACUGAAACAGAACACACUUGCAACCCAAGGGGACUGGAUUAAAUUCAUAUUGAAUCCAAACAAAUAUAAAAAUUGUGGUUUCUUUAUUUGUUACAUUUUAUUUCUGCAUUUAUUAUCUUGUUCUUAUUUCUAGUCGACUAAUUGGUAAACUAGUUAACUACUUAUAAAAGUUUUUAAAAAUAAACAAUUCACCCCAACCCCCUUGUAGAUUAAGUUAAUUUGACUGAAAUCAGAGAACUACCUGGAGUAUCACAUGGCUAAGCCGUCGAGGAUGAUGUUGUUCAAUUGAAAUUUGGCUGCCGCUAGCAGUUGCUAUGCUUGUGUCAAUUUUUUUGUUCUCGAUCGCCAUUGUUAAUGAGGCACUCAAGGUCAGAUGAAGAAGCAGAAAACGAAGAGGAAACUGCUAAUUCGAAUUAGCCCUAACUUCGAAGAUAUCGAAGAAUUUAUCAGAACACAAACAUUGGGGCAUCUUAAAUCUAGGUAAUUGUUAACGAAGCGUGAAUCAUAAACACGAGCUCUAAUACCAUGAUGAAAUCCUAGAUCUAAUCUGAGCUGUUAAGCUGAGAAUGAAGGAGAAGUGGUUACACGCUAAUGGAGAAGAAAAAAUUCCUUCAUUUUCUAAUACAGACACUGUACACUAACCGUGUAUAUAUACAAACAAGUUAGCUACUAACACACCUACUUAACAAACUAAACCUU
This 3175-nucleotide long non-coding RNA is filed under the name Nicotiana benthamiana. Its description in RNAcentral is "long non-coding RNA (NBEN_LNC035180)". Lineage: Eukaryota; Viridiplantae; Streptophyta; Magnoliopsida; Solanales; Solanaceae. The record is from RNAcentral.